This 871-nucleotide ribosomal RNA is filed under the name uncultured bacterium. Its description in RNAcentral is "bacterial SSU rRNA". It matches the Rfam family "Bacterial small subunit ribosomal RNA", at positions 83 to 955 of the family's 1533-position model. The record is from RNAcentral.
AAGAUGGUGAGAGUGGCGCACGGGUGCGUAACGCGUGAGCAACCUACCUCUAUCAGGGGGAUAGCCUCUCGAAAGAGAGAUUAACACCGCAUAACAUAAUUCUCCGGCAUCGGAGUAUUAUUAAAUAUUUAUAGGAUAGAGAUGGGCUCGCGUGACAUUAGCUAGUUGGUAGGGUAACGGCUUACCAAGGCGACGAUGUCUAGGGGCUCUGAGAGGAGAAUCCCCCACACUGGUACUGAGACACGGACCAGACUCCUACGGGAGGCAGCAGUAAGGAAUAUUGGUCAAUGGGCGGAAGCCUGAACCAGCCAUGCCGCGUGCAGGAUGACUGCCCUAUGGGUUGUAAACUGCUUUUGUCCAGGAAUAAACCUAAAUACGUGUAUUUAGCUGAAUGUACUGGAAGAAUAAGGAUCGGCUAACUCCGUGCCAGCAGCCGCGGUAAUACGGAGGAUCCGAGCGUUAUCCGGAUUUAUUGGGUUUAAAGGGUGCGUAGGCGGCCUAUUAAGUCAGGGGUGAAAUACGGUGGCUCAACCAUCGCAGUGCCUUUGAUACUGAUGGGCUUGAAUCCAUUUGAAGUGGGCGGAAUAAGACAAGUAGCGGUGAAAUGCAUAGAUAUGUCUUAGAACUCCGAUUGCGAAGGCAGCUCACUAAGCUGGUACUGACGCUGAUGCACGAAAGCGUGGGGAUCGAACAGGAUUAGAUACCCUGGUAGUCCACGCCCUAAACGAUGAUAACUCGAUGUUGGCGAUAGACAGCCAGCGUCCCAGCGAAAGCGUUAAGUUAUCCACCUGGGGAGUACGCCCGCAAGGGUGAAACUCAAAGGAAUUGACGGGGGCCCGCACAAGCGGAGGAGCAUGUGGUUUAAUUCGAU